UUUCCGUAGGUGAACCUGCGGAAGGAUCAUUACAGAGUUCAUGCCCGAAAGGGUAGACCUCCCACCCUUGUGUAUUAUUACUUUGUUGCUUUGGCGAGCGCAAGCUCGCCAUAGAAUACCAAAACUCUUUUUAUUAAUGUCGUCUGAGUACUUUAUAAUAGUUAAAACUUUCAACAACGGAUCUCUUGGUUCUG
Molecule: unclassified non-coding RNA, 194 nt
Filed under: plant metagenome
Description: partial contains small subunit ribosomal RNA, internal transcribed spacer 1, and 5.8S ribosomal RNA
Source: RNAcentral